This 386-nucleotide unclassified non-coding RNA is filed under the name plant metagenome. RNAcentral's name for it is "partial contains 5.8S ribosomal RNA, internal transcribed spacer 2, and large subunit ribosomal RNA". The record is from RNAcentral.
ACUCCGGAAGCUUUCCCGAUCGACAACCAGGUCGGGGGUGAAGAUGCGCCCAACCUUCAUGUCCGCCGUCAGCCUCCGCAAAGGAUUCUGAUGCGCCCAGUGUGACGCGUAGGAAUGUACAAAGCCAGGGUCGGUCCGCGGAGCGACGGCGGACAGGAGGCCACUGGAGCUAUCGAAGAGUGCAAAAUUGCACAGAUGCGCCCCGACAUAGUCCGCACAGGAGGUGAGGACCCGCGGCCAAAGAUCCCCAUCCAGCGCCGCAUCGUAGAUCAGAGCGACGAUCUCGGGAAAGCCCUGGCUUGCCAUGCCGCGUGCUCGACUCCCCGGUAGCAGCUGGAAGUCUCAACUUUGCCGAAAAGGCGCUGUAUCACCAGUCGACUAGGACG